CUGCGAAUACCGGAGAAUGUUAUCACGGGAGACACACGGCGGGUGCUAACGUCCGUCGUGAAGAGGGAAACAACCCAGACCGCCAGCUAAGGUCCCAAAGUCAUGGUUAAGUGGGAAACGAUGUGGGAAGGCCCAGACAGCCAGGAUGUUGGCUUAGAAGCAGCCAUCAUUUAAAGAAAGCGUAAUAGCUCACUGGUCGAGUCGGCCUGCGCGGAAGAUGUAACGGGGCUAAACCAUGCACCGAAGCUGCGGCAGCGACGCUUAUGCGUUGUUGGGUAGGGGAGCGUUCUGUAAGCCUGCGAAGGUGGCCUGUGAGGGCUGCUGGAGGUAUCAGAAGUGCGAAUGCUGACAUAAGUAACGAUAAAGCGGGUGAAAAGCCCGCUCGCCGGAAGACCAAGGGUUCCUGUCCAACGUUAAUCGGGGCAGGGUGAGUCGACCCCUAAGGCGAGGCCGAAAGGCGUAGUCGAUGGGAAACGGGUUAAUAUUCCCGUACUUGGUGUUACUGCGAAGGGGGGACGGAGAAGGCUAUGUUGGCCGGGCGACGGUU
This 547-nucleotide ribosomal RNA is filed under the name Salmonella enterica subsp. salamae. RNAcentral's name for it is "partial 23S ribosomal RNA". It matches the Rfam family "Bacterial large subunit ribosomal RNA", at positions 954 to 1503 of the family's 2925-position model. Lineage: Bacteria; Pseudomonadati; Pseudomonadota; Gammaproteobacteria; Enterobacterales; Enterobacteriaceae. The record is from RNAcentral.